This 497-nucleotide ribosomal RNA is filed under the name uncultured bacterium. RNAcentral's name for it is "bacterial SSU rRNA". It matches the Rfam family "Bacterial small subunit ribosomal RNA", at positions 28 to 526 of the family's 1533-position model. The record is from RNAcentral.
GAUGAACGCUAGCUGGAGGCUUAAUACAUGCAAGUCGAGCGGGAUUGGUAGCAAUACCAUGAGAGCGGCGCACGGGCGAGUAACGCGUACACGACCUACCUCUGACAGGGGGAUAGCCCUGGGAAACUGGGAUUAAUACCGCAUAUUAUUCUGAUUAAUAAAGGAUUGGAAUGAAAGCUGAGGCGGUCAGAGAUGGGUGUGCGUCUGAUUAGCUAGUUGGUAGGGUAACGGCCUACCAAGGCGAUGAUCAGUAGGGGGCGUGAGAGCGUGGUCCCCCACACGGGUACUGAGACACGGACCCGACUCCUACGGGAGGCAGCAGUAAGGAAUAUUGGUCAAUGGGCGAAAGCCUGAACCAGCCAUCCAGCGUGCAGGAAGAAGGCCCUAUGGGUUGUAAACUGCUUUUAUCAGGGAAGAAACCUCUGGAUUUACUCCGGAGCUGACGGUACCUGAAGAAUAAGCACCGGCUAACUCCGUGCCAGCAGCCGCGGUAAAGU